AUUAUGGAUUAGCGCCUGCAUAACAGACCACCAGGGAAUUCCGCUCUCACCUCAUUGGGGUCCUGGUGGGCGAAUAAGCACCAAGCCCUCCGCUUGGAUCGACCAUCGUGCGCGUCCCUUGCUCGCGUCGAGAGAUUUCCAACGCCGAGCUAGCGCACAGGGAAGGGAGAGAAAAGUGAGUGCCACCGCGGGGACGAGGGAAACUCGACUCACCACCUAUCGCUCCUUGGAGUUGUGUCCUGGGGAUUCUCCGGGCUUGGAGGAGGAAGGUUGAAGCAGCUCUUCCGGGGAUUCGUGUUCAACGUUGUGGGAAUUCCUCGCCACCAGGAACUACCCUGCCGUGGACCGCGGGUCCGCGUGGCCAAGACUGUCCUCGCUGCUAGCCUUGACGAGCAAGCCACACAUGAUCGAGUGCUUCAGUAGGUGGAGACUGCUGAGCAGGAGCUCAUUGAAGCCCCCCACAGGAGAAGAACAUGUGGUUCAAGAGGAGCCACACAAUGAGGAGUUCCACUUGAUCUAGGUGUCGUUUCCCAGUUGACUUUAUGGCGCCAAGGAUGGACAUUUGUUCGUUUUAUAUUAUUAUUUUGUAAGACUUCCGCUAUGUAAUAAGUACUCUGAUUAUAUUGUGACAUUUAUCUCUAUACACUCUGUUAUUGUA
Molecule: long non-coding RNA, 658 nt
Organism: Zea mays
Lineage: Eukaryota; Viridiplantae; Streptophyta; Magnoliopsida; Poales; Poaceae
Exons: 3
Source: RefSeq, marked validated